This 378-nucleotide ribosomal RNA is filed under the name uncultured bacterium. Its description in RNAcentral is "bacterial SSU rRNA". It matches the Rfam family "Bacterial small subunit ribosomal RNA", at positions 521 to 896 of the family's 1533-position model. The record is from RNAcentral.
UAAUACGGAGGGUGCGAGCGUUGUUCGGAAUUAUUGGGCGUAAAGCGCGCGUAGGCGGUUCGAGAAGUCUCGUGGUGAAAGGCCGGGGCUCAACCCCGUGCUGGCCGGAGAUACUCUUGGACUGGAGACAGGGAGAGGCCAGUGGAAUUCCGGGUGUAGCGGUGGAAUGCGUAGAGAUCCGGAAGAACACCGGAGGCGAAGGCGGCUGGCUGGCCCUGAUCUGACGCUGAGGUGCGAAAGCGUGGGGAGCGAACAGGAUUAGAUACCCUGGUAGUCCACGCCGUAAACGAUGGGCACUAGAUGCUGGGGGGAUCGACCCUCUCGGUGUCGGAGCUAACGCGUUAAGUGCCCCGCCUGGGGAGUACGGCCGCAAGGCUG